Molecule: ribosomal RNA, 216 nt
Filed under: uncultured bacterium
Lineage: Bacteria
Description: partial 16S ribosomal RNA
Rfam family: Bacterial small subunit ribosomal RNA
Source: RNAcentral
CGGCUGAGUAACGCGUAGGAACGUACCCCAAACUGAGGAAUAAUCCCGAGAAAUCGGGACUAAUACCGCAUAUGCUCUAUGGAGUAAAGCUUUCGAGCGGUUUGGGAACGGCCUGCGUAUGAUUAGCUUGUUGGUGAGGUAAUGGCUCACCAAGGCGACGAUCAUUAGCUGGUCUGAGAGGAUGAUCAGCCAGACUGGGACUGAGACACGGCCCAG